This 380-nucleotide ribosomal RNA is filed under the name uncultured bacterium. Its description in RNAcentral is "bacterial SSU rRNA". It matches the Rfam family "Bacterial small subunit ribosomal RNA", at positions 335 to 704 of the family's 1533-position model. The record is from RNAcentral.
ACUCCUACGGGAGGCAGCAGUGGGGAAUAUUGCACAAUGGGCGCAAGCCUGAUGCAGCCAUGCCGCGUGUGUGAAGAAGGCCUUCGGGUUGUAAAGCACUUUCAGUCGUGAGGAAGGUAGUGUAGUUAAUAGCUGCUAUUAUUUGACGUUAGCGACAGAAGAAGCACCGGCUAACUCCGUGCCAGCAGCCGCGGUAAUACGGAGGGUGCGAGCGUUAAUCGGAAUUACUGGGCGUAAAGCGCAUGCAGGUGGUUUGUUAAGUCAGAUGUGAAAGCCCGGGGCUCAACCUCGGAAUAGCAUUUGAAACUGGCAGACUAGAGUACUGGUAGAGGGGGUUAGAAUUUCAGGUGUAGCGGUGAAAUGCGUAGAGAUCGUGAAGG